RNAcentral lists this ribosomal RNA (372 nucleotides) under uncultured bacterium. RNAcentral describes it as "bacterial SSU rRNA". It matches the Rfam family "Bacterial small subunit ribosomal RNA", at positions 527 to 896 of the family's 1533-position model. The record is from RNAcentral.
GUAGGGUGCGAGCGUUGUCCGGAUUUAUUGGGCGUAAAGGGCUCGUAGGUGGUUGAUCGCGUCGGAAGUGCAAUCUUGGGGCCUAACCCUGAGCGUGCUUUCGAUACGGGUUGACUUGAGGAAGGUAGGGGAGAAUGGAAUUCCUGGUGGAGCGGUGGAAUGCGCAGAUAUCAGGAGGAACACCAGUGGCGAAGGCGGUUCUCUGGGCCUUUCCUGACGCUGAGGAGCGAAAGCGUGGGGAGCGAACAGGCUUAGAUACCCUGGUAGUCCACGCUGUAAACGGUGGGUACUAGGUGUGGGGUCCAUUCCACGGGUUCCGUGCCGUAGCUAACGCUUUAAGUACCCCGCCUGGGGAGUACGGCCGCAAGGCUA